Molecule: long non-coding RNA, 507 nt
Filed under: Gorilla gorilla gorilla (western lowland gorilla)
Lineage: Eukaryota; Metazoa; Chordata; Mammalia; Primates; Hominidae
Description: lncRNA (ENSGGOG00000044653.1)
Source: RNAcentral
GGCAGAGCUGGGCUUAAAAUUCAGCAGUCUGGCUCUGAAGCUCUUGACCUCCUUGAGAGAGCGCUAAACUUGGAAUGUUUUCUUCGUGGUGCCUUUGGUCCUGCUUCAUAUUCUUUAAUGCAUAGACCCUGGCCUCCAUCUUGAAAACGGAAAAUAAAAACAGCAGACCUCUGAAGGUCGAAGGGGAAGAAAAGCUGUAUCGAUUGUUGAGAUCUGGCGACUUGUUUAAAUUUCAUCAGCCUCACUUCUAUGAACUCUCAGAGCUGAUUACCAACUCCUACCACUGUUAACCCUCAUCCAGGAACAAGCUUAUGUCUUUAACAUUCUGAGUGGGCUUCAGCAUCCUUGCAUAUGUUCAAUUCUCAAAAACCUGUUGAAAUAAAAGAUCAGGAGACAUAGGAAGGAUGCCAGAAGAGAGCGUGGUAAGUGGGGGAGAAUCUUUCCCCAAGGGAUUGGAGGUAUUUCAGGAUUAGACUAUGUAUAUCUAUAAGCAUGCAUAUAUAUUUA